This 298-nucleotide long non-coding RNA is filed under the name Elaeis guineensis (African oil palm). RNAcentral describes it as "long non-coding RNA (EGUI_LNC035556)". The record is from RNAcentral. Lineage: Eukaryota; Viridiplantae; Streptophyta; Magnoliopsida; Arecales; Arecaceae.
UUCUCCCAUGCAAUAGCGAAGUAUUUAAUUAAUGGUACAUGUGUAGCAGAAAUUUCCUCUUGAUAUAUUUCAGCCACUUCUUUAAAUUGGUUCUGCAUUGAAAUAUAACAAUUAAUAGAAGGAUAAAAGAACUUUUAUAUUAAUCAAAAAGAGUUUAAAAAAAUUAUACUCCCAAAUACAAAUCAAAAUUAGAGAUAUUUCAAUCUAAAAUAUUAUUCUCCUUUUUUUUACAAAAAACAUAGAUAUACUAGUAUUUCUUCUUCUUUUGAAGUAGACUAACUCCUAUUAGAUCUAUGCC